Long non-coding RNA from Manihot esculenta (cassava), 1037 nucleotides. RefSeq lists it as uncharacterized. The record is from RefSeq and is a predicted model, not a curated record. The transcript is spliced from 2 exons. NCBI's taxonomy places the organism in Eukaryota, Viridiplantae, Streptophyta, Magnoliopsida, Malpighiales, Euphorbiaceae.
AUUUUAACACUCCUCCCUCUCUCUCUCUCACUCCCCUUGGAGAGAGUUCUUUCCUCUGGUUCUUUCUUUCUUCUUGGAGCUAAGUCUCCUCCCUUUGCCGGCGCCGUUCGGCUUCCCUCCAUUCCUUCUGGGCAUAUGAGGGCGUCCUCCUCUACCCGGUUUGUGGGUUAACCCCUCCCUCACCGGGUAGAACUGUAAAUAUUUUUAGUUUUUAUUUCUUCUUAAUUUUUCUAAGAUCAGUACUUUCAUAGAUCCGAAGUCUAUCUUGAGGAGAAAUCUUUGAGAGAUCUGCUGGUUUCCUCAGUCUCCUCUGCAAGCGACGCCAGAUCUAUCACUAGAGGCCGCUGCUGGAUCGUUUGUCUUGUUGUUAUUUAGUAUGUUCUUAGAUCUAUCUCUGCCAUGUGAGGGUUGUGUUUUAGUGUUGAUGUGGAGCAUCUCGAGGUCUUUAGUUAUAUUUUCAUCCUUCUGGAAAGCGGACCUAUUAGGUGCAUGGGGACGCCGUUUGGACUUGUUCUACGUCUCUUCUCUUGGCCUGACGACGACCUUGGCUGUAUGGUUUUAUUGAGAUAUUGAAGUCUGAAUUCUGGUUUCUAAGAGCUCAAUGGGUUUUGGUCCUUUUCUUCAGACAUUUUGUCUAUCUAUUGGUGACCAGUUGCACUUUCUCAGUGUGAGGUCUCUUCGGCGACAUCCCUGAGUCUUUUGUUCUUCUCCAGCAAGCUUGCAUUCUUUGUUUGGGCCUUGGGCCUUUAAGUGUAGCUUGUUAGCCCGUCAGAUUUUUUUUCUUUUAAGAUCUCUAUUGUUAUGAGCAUCCUUUAUAGACGAGAGAGACAUCCCUUUCUUUCUUGCUGGGUCUCUCACGCGCUCUCCCUCUCCAUACAGGAUCACAUGUAUUUUGGUGGGUUUGAUUGGCAGAUCCAGAAGUUUACAGCGAGGGUUUUCAGUGAUAUGGUCAGAUUAAUUUUUCUCCACAAGCGAUGAUCAUUUGAUAUGCUGUACUCUCCCUAUCAAUGAAACUACAAUUAUUUGUGACCCCAAAA